RNAcentral lists this ribosomal RNA (331 nucleotides) under Salmonella enterica. RNAcentral's name for it is "partial 23S ribosomal RNA". It matches the Rfam family "Bacterial large subunit ribosomal RNA", at positions 1 to 369 of the family's 2925-position model. RNAcentral also lists the same sequence under 2 other names. Lineage: Bacteria; Pseudomonadati; Pseudomonadota; Gammaproteobacteria; Enterobacterales; Enterobacteriaceae. The record is from RNAcentral.
GUUAAGCGACUAAGCGUACACGGUGGAUGCCCUGGCAGUCAGAGGCGAUGAAGGGCGUGCUAAUCUGCGAUAAGCGCCGGUAAGGUGAUAUGAACCGUUAUAACCGGCGAUACCCGAAUGGGGAAACCCAGUGUGACUCGUCACACUAUCAUUAACUGAAUCCAUAGGUUAAUGAGGCGAACCGGGGGAACUGAAACAUCUAAGUACCCCGAGGAAAAGAAAUCAACCGAGAUUCCCCCAGUAGCGGCGAGCGAACGGGGAGGAGCCCAGAGCCUGAAUCAGCAUGUGUGUUAGUGGAAGCGUCUGGAAAGGCGCGCGAUACAGGGUGACA